Molecule: unclassified non-coding RNA, 87 nt
Filed under: Pseudomonas arsenicoxydans
Lineage: Bacteria; Pseudomonadati; Pseudomonadota; Gammaproteobacteria; Pseudomonadales; Pseudomonadaceae
Source: RNAcentral
UGUGGGAGCUGGCUUGCCUGCGAUGGCAUCACUUCGGUCUGUCUUAUACACCGAGGUGAUGGCAUCGCAGGCAAGCCAGCUCCCACA